This 72-nucleotide transfer RNA is filed under the name Candidatus Pacearchaeota archaeon. RNAcentral's name for it is "tRNA-Gly". It matches the Rfam family "tRNA". From Rfam's summary of the family: Transfer RNA (tRNA) molecules are approximately 80 nucleotides in length. Their secondary structure includes four short double-helical elements and three loops (D, anti-codon, and T loops). The record is from RNAcentral. Lineage: Archaea; Nanobdellati.
GCGCUGGUAGUUUAGUGGUUAGAAUGCCUCGUUGCCAACGAGGUGACCCGGGUUCGAGUCCCGGCCAGCGCA